GACGAACCGUGCGAACGUUGUUCGGAAUCACUGGGCUUAAAGGGCGCGUAGGCGGCUCUUCAAGUCAGCCGUGAAAUCUCCAGGCUUAACCUGGAAGGGUCGGUUGAUACUGUCGAGCUAGAGUGUGGAAGAGGCAACUGGAAUUCCGUGUGUAGCGGUGAAAUGCGUAGAUAUACGGAGGAACACCUGCGGCGAAGGCGGGUUGCUGGGCCAACACUGACGCUGAGGCGCGAAAGCUAGGGUAGCAAACGGG
RNAcentral lists this ribosomal RNA (253 nucleotides) under uncultured bacterium. RNAcentral's name for it is "partial 16S ribosomal RNA". It matches the Rfam family "Bacterial small subunit ribosomal RNA", at positions 524 to 776 of the family's 1533-position model. The record is from RNAcentral.